This 447-nucleotide ribosomal RNA is filed under the name uncultured bacterium. RNAcentral describes it as "bacterial SSU rRNA". It matches the Rfam family "Bacterial small subunit ribosomal RNA", at positions 330 to 793 of the family's 1533-position model. The record is from RNAcentral.
UCCAGACUCCUACGGGAGGCAGCAGUGGGGAAUAUUGCACAAUGGGGGAAACCCUGAUGCAGCGACGCCGCGUGAGUGAAGAAGUAUUUCGGUAUGUAAAGCUCUAUCAGCAGGGAAGAAAAAAGACGGUACCUGACUAAGAAGCCCCGGCUAACUACGUGCCAGCAGCCGCGGUAAUACGUAGGGGGCAAGCGUUAUCCGGAAUUACUGGGUGUAAAGGGUGCGUAGGUGGCAUGGUAAGUCAGAAGUGAAAGCCCGGGGCUUAACCCCGGGACUGCUUUUGAAACUGUCAUGCUGGAGUGCAGGAGAGGUAAGCGGAAUUCCUAGUGUAGCGGUGAAAUGCGUAGAUAUUAGGAGGAACACCAGUGGCGAAGGCGGCUUACUGGACUGUCACUGACACUGAUGCACGAAAGCGUGGGGAGCAAACAGGAUUAGAUACCCGUGUAC